This 253-nucleotide ribosomal RNA is filed under the name uncultured bacterium. RNAcentral's name for it is "partial 16S ribosomal RNA". It matches the Rfam family "Bacterial small subunit ribosomal RNA", at positions 524 to 776 of the family's 1533-position model. The record is from RNAcentral.
UACGUAGGGUGCAAGCGUUGUCCGGAAUUAUUGGGCGUAAAGAGCGUGUAGGCGGUCCGGUAAGUCCGCUGUGAAAGUCGGGGGCUCAACCCUCGAAUGCCGGUGGAUACUGUCGGGCUAGAGUGCGGAAGAGGCGAGUGGAAUUCCUGGUGUAGCGGUGAAAUGCGCAGAUAUCAGGAAGAACACCCGUGGCGAAGGCGGUUCUCUGGGACGGUACUGACGCUGAGACGCGAAAGCGUGGGGAGCGAACAGG